UGGGUGGUAUAUUUCAUCUAAAGCUAAAUAUUGGCCAGAGACCGAUAGCGCACAAGUAGAGUGAUCGAAAGAUGAAAAGCACUUUGGAAAGAGAGUUAAACAGUACGUGAAAUUGUUGAAAGGGAAGCGCUUGCAAUCAGACUUGCGCUCGGGGUUCAGCGGGGCUUCUGCCCCGUGUACUUCCCCGCGCGCAGGCCAGCAUCGGUUUGGGUGGUUAGAUAAAGGCCUGGAGAAUGUGGCCCUCUUCGGGGGGUGUUAUAGCUCCAGGUGCAAUGUAGCCUACCUGGACCGAGGACCGCGCUUCGGCUAGGAUGCUGG
This 318-nucleotide ribosomal RNA is filed under the name Monilinia amelanchieris. Its description in RNAcentral is "eukaryotic LSU rRNA". It matches the Rfam family "Eukaryotic large subunit ribosomal RNA", at positions 293 to 629 of the family's 3401-position model. The record is from RNAcentral. Lineage: Eukaryota; Fungi; Ascomycota; Leotiomycetes; Helotiales; Sclerotiniaceae.